RNAcentral lists this ribosomal RNA (485 nucleotides) under uncultured bacterium. RNAcentral's name for it is "partial 16S ribosomal RNA". It matches the Rfam family "Bacterial small subunit ribosomal RNA", at positions 30 to 507 of the family's 1533-position model. The record is from RNAcentral.
UUGAACGCUGGCGGCAUACCUUACACAUGCAAGUCGAACGGCAGCACGGGUGCUUGCACCUGGUGGCGAGUGGCGAACGGGUGAGUAAUACAUCGGAACAUGUCCUGUAGUGGGGGAUAGCCCGGCGAAAGCCGGAUUAAUACCGCAUACGAUCUACGGAUGAAAGCGGGGGACCUUCGGGCCUCGCGCUAUAGGGUUGGCCGAUGGCUGAUUAGCUAGUUGGUGGGGUAAAGGCCUACCAAGGCGACGAUCAGUAGCUGGUCUGAGAGGACGACCAGCCACACUGGGACUGAGACACGGCCCAGACUCCUACGGGAGGCAGCAGUGGGGAAUUUUGGACAAUGGGCGAAAGCCUGAUCCAGCAAUGCCGCGUGUGUGAAGAAGGCCUUCGGGUUGUAAAGCACUUUUGUCCGGAAAGAAAUCCUUGGCUCUAAUACAGUCGGGGGAUGACGGUACCGGAAGAAUAAGCACCGGCUAACUACGUG